This 73-nucleotide transfer RNA is filed under the name Blastocatellia bacterium. Its description in RNAcentral is "tRNA-His". It matches the Rfam family "tRNA". Rfam says of the family: Transfer RNA (tRNA) molecules are approximately 80 nucleotides in length. Their secondary structure includes four short double-helical elements and three loops (D, anti-codon, and T loops). Lineage: Bacteria; Pseudomonadati; Acidobacteriota; Blastocatellia. The record is from RNAcentral.
GCGGGCAUAGUUCAGUGGUUAGAACGCUUGACUGUGGAUCAAGAGGUCGUGGGUUCAAGUCCCAUUGCCCGCC